This 1518-nucleotide long non-coding RNA is filed under the name Homo sapiens (human). RNAcentral describes it as "HSALNT0331745". Lineage: Eukaryota; Metazoa; Chordata; Mammalia; Primates; Hominidae. The record is from RNAcentral.
GUUUCAGAUCUGUCACACAAGGCCAUCGUAUUUUUCCUUUUAAAGAGGCAGAUUAUUUGCUGAUCACGUAACUGGAGACGUCCAGUGCAGGACUCUGCAAGAACCCUCUGUAAUUCGGUGACACCCACUCCUCAGGGCAGAGCAAAGGGUGACACUGCUUGAGAAGUGCUGGUGCUAGAUCAGGGCAGGGAAGGAACAUAUAAGCCAAGCAACAUCCACAGCUGCUCCCAAAGAAUGGACUUCACACUCAGAAGAAAAGACGUCUGGGUUGUAGGUAGCGUGUGCCUUCUCUCGUCUUCAGUUCUCUGGUGCUUGAUCCGGUUCGUGAUGACCCGGGGAGGCCACUGGCAGACUCCUGCUCUUGAGGACGUGCAGCUUUCAUGCAGCUGUUGAGAAGUCCAAACAAGUUCAGAAUCCUGAUCUUUUGUGUGUGGCCUAUAUUUUCUCUCUCUAGCAACUUGGGAAACCUUCUAUUUGUCCUUGUAUUGGGAAAAGUUUCUGCCAGAACCAAGAACCACUGUCCGUAAGUGGAGGGAAGUUCAGACUGAAGAAAGAGGCAAAACCACUUUAGGUUGAGUCUUGCUCUGUCACCCAGGCUGGAGUGCGGUGGUGUGAUCUUGGCUCACUGCAACCUCUGCCCCCCAAGUUCAAGCGAUUCUCCUGCCUUGGCCUCCCGAGUAGCUGGGACUACAGAUGGAAUCUUGCUGUGUCUCCAGGCUGGAGUGUAGUGGCGCGAUCUCGGCUCACUGCAACCUCUGCCUCCCGGGUUCAAGCAAUUCUCCUGCCUCAGCCUCCCGAGUAGCUGGGACUACAGGUGCCAGCCAUCACGCCCGGCUAAUUUUUUGUAUUUUUAGUAGAGAUGGGGUUUCACCAUGUUGGCCAGGAUGGUCUCGAUCUCCUGACCUCGUGAUCUACCCGCCUCAGCCUCCCAAAGUGCUGGGAUUAUAGGCGUGAGCCACCGCGCCCAGCCUAGUCUCUGCUUUUUUAAAAAAAAUGUUAGGACAGUGGUCCCUAAACUUGUCUGUGUAUUAGAAUCACCUGGGAAAUCUUUAAAAAUUCUAAGGACCAGGUAAAUUAAAUUAUAAUCUCUGGGAAUAGGACUGAUUUUUGUAUUUUUAGUAGAGACGGGGUUUUGCCAUGUUCACCAGGCUGGUCUCGAACUCCUGACCUCAGGUGAUCCACCCGCCUCAGCCUCCCAAAGUGUUGGGAUUACAGGUGUGAGCCACCACAUCCAGCCCAGACUAAUUUUUCUGAUGACAAAUGCUGCUUGUUGAUGUGAAUUCUGAUAUGGCACACACUUGAGCCUCACUUUGUUAGCUAUUAAUUUGUGUUACUGAAUUUACAGGCCUGGAAUACAAUUUGUGCUUCUUUUUAAAUAAAUUUCAUACUUUUUUUUUAAUGGACUUGUAAUCUACCUGAACUUGAAUUUGUUGAGGGUUUACGCUAAUGAAAAUAACAGAAAGACAAACUGUGAGAUAUAUCAUGCCAUUUAUAAUUAAUAAAUCACCAAACAGAGGC